Transfer RNA from Ovis aries (sheep), 73 nucleotides. It matches the Rfam family "tRNA". Rfam says of the family: Transfer RNA (tRNA) molecules are approximately 80 nucleotides in length. Their secondary structure includes four short double-helical elements and three loops (D, anti-codon, and T loops). Further hydrogen bonds mediate the characteristic L-shaped molecular structure. tRNAs have two regions of fundamental functional importance: the anti-codon, which is responsible for specific mRNA codon recognition, and the 3' end, to which the tRNAs corresponding amino acid is attached (by aminoacyl-tRNA synthetases). tRNAs cope with the degeneracy of the genetic code in two manners: having more than one tRNA (with a specific anti-codon) for a particular amino acid; and 'wobble' base-pairing, i.e. permitting non-standard base-pairing at the 3rd anti-codon position. NCBI's taxonomy places the organism in Eukaryota, Metazoa, Chordata, Mammalia, Artiodactyla, Bovidae. The record is from Rfam.
UUCCUGAUGGUCCAGUGGUUAAGACUCUGUGCUUCCAUUGCAGGGGGCACAGGUUCCAUCCCUGGUUGGGGAA